This 120-nucleotide ribosomal RNA is filed under the name Pteropus alecto (black flying fox). Lineage: Eukaryota; Metazoa; Chordata; Mammalia; Chiroptera; Pteropodidae. The record is from RNAcentral.
GUCUACAGCCAUGCCACCCUGAAUAUGCCCGAUCUCAUCUGAUCUCGGAAGCUAAGCAGAGUCGGGCCUGGUUAGUACUUGGAUGGGAGACUACCUAGGAAGAGCAUGAAAAAAAAGAAA